AUGUUUUCAAUCAUGUUCAUAAGCAAGCAAAGGCCUCAUGCUUUUUUACAACAUAAACUGAAUCUCAAGUUUCAAUCAUGGGCCAGAGAUUUCUAUUACAAAUCACAAAUCCUAUUUUGGGUUUGGUUCACAAAAGAAAAGGUUCGAAAAGUAACAUAUAAAAAAAACUAUGAAACAAUUCACACCAAUAUCAGCUGA
Molecule: non-coding RNA, 198 nt
Organism: Vicia faba (fava bean)
Lineage: Eukaryota; Viridiplantae; Streptophyta; Magnoliopsida; Fabales; Fabaceae
Source: the annotation of a GenBank genome assembly